UACAGAGGUCUCAAGCGUUGUUCGGAUUCAUUGGGCGUAAAGGGGGUGUAGGUGGCGCCGUAAGUCGGGUGUGAAAUUUCGAGGCUUAACCUCGAAACUGCAUUCGAUACUGCGGUGCUUGAGGACUGGAGUUCGGCAGGGGAGACUGGAAUUCCUGGUGUAGCGGUGAAAUGCGCAGAUAUCAGGAGGAACACCGGUGGCGAAGGCGGGUCUCUGGGCCGAUACUGACGCUGAGGAGCGAAAGCGUGGGGAGCGAACAGG
RNAcentral lists this ribosomal RNA (261 nucleotides) under uncultured bacterium. RNAcentral describes it as "partial 16S ribosomal RNA". It matches the Rfam family "Bacterial small subunit ribosomal RNA", at positions 524 to 776 of the family's 1533-position model. The record is from RNAcentral.